This 254-nucleotide ribosomal RNA is filed under the name uncultured bacterium. RNAcentral describes it as "partial 16S ribosomal RNA". It matches the Rfam family "Bacterial small subunit ribosomal RNA", at positions 524 to 776 of the family's 1533-position model. The record is from RNAcentral.
UACGUGGGGAGCAAGCGUUGUUCGGAUUUACUGGGCGUAAAGGGCGCGUAGGCGGUCAGCACAAGUCAGUUGUGAAAUCUCCGGGCUUAACUCGGAAAGGUCAACUGAUACUGUGCGACUAGAGUGCGGAAGGGGCAACUGGAAUUCUCGGUGUAGCGGUGAAAUGCGUAGAUAUCGAGAGGAACACCUGCGGCGAAGGCGGGUUGCUGGGCCGACACUGACGCUGAUGCGCGAAAGCCAGGGGAGCGAACGGG